Long non-coding RNA from Eutrema salsugineum, 1766 nucleotides. RefSeq lists it as uncharacterized. The record is from RefSeq and is a predicted model, not a curated record. The transcript is spliced from 4 exons. NCBI's taxonomy places the organism in Eukaryota, Viridiplantae, Streptophyta, Magnoliopsida, Brassicales, Brassicaceae.
UCAUUUCCUCGGUCCGUUCUUUGCCCAUUGAUCACGAAACGUCUACAAACCCAGAAGAAGAAAGAUGGAAACUUUAAAAGUUCUUCGAACACAAAAAAAAUGGAGAAUUGACGAUGAUUUACAUCGACUUUGUGAAGUAUUGGCUUGAAUUCAAAUGGGAGUCAGAAAUUAGGGUAAUUUUCUCGUACAAUAUAAUCUGAGCUCUUCUCGAGUUUCCUUUUGGAUCUUGGUGGCAAGUUUUCUUCAGUCAAGAGGAGUUCCAAGAUUAUAUAUUGUUCUUUCUUCCCCCUCCAGUUGGUUUCCAUCUCUUUUGCAAUAAAUCUGGAUGUGCUCUUCAUAUACAUAGAUUUGUGCUCAGAUUCAGUUCAUAGUUAUAUCCCUUUUUUGUUGGUCUUAAAUCUUAAUUGACAUUAGAGAUCCAAUUGGCAAAUUUCCAAGAUAACACCUUUUUGUCUACCGUUGAGAAACAGAGUUCCCACUUAUUGGUGUCUCUGCUCUGUGGGUAAGAUUGUUGUUAAAAAAGUUGAUUGCCUUUUCAGACGCUAAUUAAAUUCAAUCCUCUAGGAGCAUAUUCAUCUGAUCAGUUUCUUACAGGCUUACAUAUAACUUCGAAAAGCCUUAGUUUGUUUCAAUAGUACAUUGUUACAUGAGCUUCCCUUAAAAGCUCAUGAUUUUGGUUUCCAAUCACUUACAUAGACCAUGCUUCCCUAAGAAGCUCAUAUCUUACAUUUGUAACUACUGCUUGGGUGUUUGCAAAUGGAAUGUUCGGUUUGGCUUUUUCAUUCAAAUUCUGCUUACCUUACUUGAAAGCCGGAAAGCAUGAUCUUGGAGAUUAGGAGCUGAAUAUGACUACGCGAGUUUCUAGCAGAUUACAGUUGUGUUCCAGUGAUUGGUGGUGGUGUGGACUUACAUCAUACUUACCUUGGAAAAGUGUUCCUCACGGGAUACUAAGACGUCUUGUUAGUCCUAAUCCAUGGUCCCUUGGUGCAUAUCAGAAUUGGACUUUCAUUAAGGCACUAAUCACUUCCUCUCUACUUAUUACUCUCUACAAUAUUUAUGCUUUAUGCUCAGAUUUAUCAAAGUUCACAAUGAAACUGCAAGAGAUACUGGAUGUGUCUGUGGUUUACAUCCUUCUAGCGUUAGUUCCAGCUUCAAUGUGGCAAACCGCUUGCUUGCCAAGGUUUGCUCAAACAUAAACAAGCGUAAUGGAAAGUUUGUUCUACAAAAUGAUGAUCUAUCGAUCAACUGUCAUGACAUUCAUAUCUUCCCUUCCAAUUAGAAAGAUUGGGUGAAUCGGGAAGGUCACCGAGCAUAUUCUGAAGAAUGUUUUAGGAAUUAAAACAUGUGAGGAGAUGGUUCUGAAGGGGAUCUCUUCUCUAUGCUCUCUUCACUCAGUCUUCAGGAGGUAGCAGUAUCUCCUGCCCAAAGAAGGUAUUGGUCCCAUAUCGAAGGUUUGUCGCCUGCAAAGCAACGGAGAUAUGUCUCCAAACACAAGUUUACCACUUCUGUCUAACCAUCUACUUACUUCAUGGGAAAACCUUUUGACUUUUGAAUGUUUUCGACGGACCUUCGAGACCAUCAAUUGGUCCAGAACUAAAUUGUGGUAACAGCAUUCGAAGGAGGGGGCAUACAAAAGAAACCACAAGUCGUCUAUCUUUCAACAAAAAUGGUAGCGUUAUACAGUAUCUUGUUUCUAUUAAAAUUAGUAACACAAAUGUAAAGCUACUACAAUUGUUUGUACAAAAGAGCCUGGUUCUACAUAAUAA